CGAGAUUAAGCUUGGCACUUACUGAGUACCGCUGCAAUGUACUCAUGCCUCUUCUGCGCACGUUUUCCAUGUGCAGAUCCAAGUACCUCACCAUAGGCGCAUUAUCACCGAGGCAGAGAGAUCUAGCAGAGACUCGAGGUAUAUCUGCAGCGUCCGGAGACCGAAGAAUUUCCUUCCUAUUCUAUCAUAUAGUCAGCUAGUUGUUCCUGUUUUUCUUUGAUGUAGACAUUUUCGGAGUUAAAUCCGUACUAUAAACUUUCUUAGCCUGUGUCGCCUGUGAGAUUCCGCAUUUUGGGAUUUUGCUUCAUCGUUGUGGUGUGAAGUGUAU
RNAcentral lists this long non-coding RNA (328 nucleotides) under Nicotiana benthamiana. RNAcentral describes it as "long non-coding RNA (NBEN_LNC003884)". Lineage: Eukaryota; Viridiplantae; Streptophyta; Magnoliopsida; Solanales; Solanaceae. The record is from RNAcentral.